GAUGAACGCUAGCGGCAGGCCUAAUACAUGCAAGUCGAACGGGUGGUCGCAAGACCACUAGUGGCGCACGGGUGCGUAACGCGUAACCAGCCUGCCCCGAUCUGGGGGAUAGCCCGCCGAAAGGCGGAUUAAUACCGCAUAUACCCGCAGCCUGGCAUCAGGCAACGGGGAAAGAUUUAUUGGAUCGGGAUGGGGUUGCGUGACAUUAGCUAGUUGGCGGGGUAAGGGCCCACCAAGGCGACGAUGUCUAGGGGACCUGAGAGGGUGAUCCCCCACACUGGCACUGAGAUACGGGCCAGACUCCUACGGGAGGCAGCAGUAGGGAAUAUUGGGCAAUGGGCGAGAGCCUGACCCAGCCAUGCCGCGUGCCGGAUGAAGGCCUUCUGGGUUGUAAACGGCUUUUCUCAGGGAAGAAAAAGACCUUGCGAGGUACACUGACGGUACCUGAGGAAUAAGCACCGGCUAACUCCGUG
Molecule: ribosomal RNA, 473 nt
Filed under: uncultured bacterium
Lineage: Bacteria
Description: partial 16S ribosomal RNA
Rfam family: Bacterial small subunit ribosomal RNA
Source: RNAcentral